UAGGGAAUCUUCCACAAUGGACGCAAGUCUGAUGGAGCAACGCCGCGUGAGUGAAGAAGGUUUUCGGAUCGUAAAGCUCUGUUGUUGGUGAAGAAGGAUAGAGGCAGUAACUGGCCUUUAUUUGACGGUAAUCAACCAGAAAGUCACGGCUAACUACGUGCUAG
RNAcentral lists this ribosomal RNA (164 nucleotides) under uncultured bacterium. RNAcentral describes it as "partial 16S rRNA". It matches the Rfam family "Bacterial small subunit ribosomal RNA", at positions 355 to 511 of the family's 1533-position model. The record is from RNAcentral.